Molecule: unclassified non-coding RNA, 2838 nt
Filed under: Trichogramma pretiosum
Lineage: Eukaryota; Metazoa; Arthropoda; Insecta; Hymenoptera; Trichogrammatidae
Description: protein phosphatase 1 regulatory subunit 3C-like, transcript variant X9
Source: RNAcentral
GUUGAAAAUAGCAAAAUUUCAUUGUUUUUUUUAUAACGUGAGUGGAUCAACAUCAGGUCGGUUGGUUGUUUUAUAUUUUUCGAAAUAGGUAUAGCGAUUCGUCAGUAGGGAGCGAAUUUCGCAGGUACAUGGCUUGCGAUCAGUGCGAUGUACGUACGUAAGUGCAGCAGCGAUGAAUUCAAGUCGGUCUUUAUCAUUACUUCAACGAGAUCGAUUGGAUCGUCCUCAGCGCGGGGUUCAAGGAGAGACGAAUGCGCGACGGAAGAUGAGCGAGUAGCUGCAAGUGCGGGCUUGAAUUUUGUACGUCGAGCGUCGUCUCAAGCGUUGGCACCGAUUCAAUCGUACUAUUCGAGCGCGAGUAGCGCGGAUCUAUCGAUGCGAUCCUUGAAUUUCUCUCGAUCUAUUCUUCGAAGCGGCGAUCGACGGCGUAAUAUUCGUUCGAACGAGUCGUUCACCUUCGAUCGAGGAGGUUAUCCAAGAGCUACCCUCGUAAGAGCAGCGACAAAAAAUUGCAUUACGCGCGAGCUGUUACUAGCGCAACAGCUAGUUAGCUUCGAAUUUGGCCAAGAGCCAAGAAAAAGAAUAUCGUGUCGAAAAUAACGCAGUCGACAGCGACGCAGUCCAGCUUUUUCAAUUUGCCGAGCAUCAGUUGCAGCUCGACGUUGUGCACUUUACGGACUGGUGCGUGAUCGACGAUUGUGCCUGUGCAAAGUGAACCUCGUUUCUUCGCUCGUCCCGCAGUGCGCAGUCCGUCAGUGAAAUAAUGUGAGAGCAACGCGACUCGACCAACCGAUUGCCUACUUCGUUAGCGGAGGAGAGAUCUAAAUGUGUUCAAUAGCAGCGAUACCGUCGGAACUGCGGGUUUUGGGGCGCAGUCCUCCUGUGUGCGGCUCGCUGCUCUACAGCUCGUUGAUGGUGACGACUCCAGCAGGGCCGAUCGUCAGCAGAAACACGGUACCGCCGCAGAUUCGCUCUUGUCUCGCGUCGGCCUCGCUGCAGCUCAACGAGCUCAUCAAAACCAGCAGCGAGGAUGCGAGCAGCAGCAGCGUCGCCGACAGCAACAAGAGGAACAAGAAGAGGGUCGUGUUCGCCGACGACCGCGGAAGGCCCCUCGAGCACGUGCGAGUGAUCGGCGAGUCGAGCAGCACGCCGCCCUCGUGGACCAGCUCGUACGUGGCCAGCCUCGUCCGGGGGGGCCUCUUCCAGCCGUACGACGAGCUCGAGCAGCGGGCCCUGCAGGAGCACCAGCCCAGCGACGCCGUCGACUUUCCUCGCAAGCCUAGCUCCGACGCCUCCGUCUGGGAGCUGUGCUUCCUGCAGCCGGCCAGCGACUACAUAGGCUUCCGGGACAAGCUCGACAGGCACGGGGUCAGCUUGGAGAACGUCCUGGUGAACGAGGCCGAGCAGAGCCUCGUCGGCACCGUCAAAGUCAAGAACCUGGCCUACGUGAAGGAGGUCGCGCUGCGCCUCACCUUCGACCAGUGGACGAGCCAGCGGGACAUAGCCUGCGUCUACGUGCAGCAGCACGGCUUCGGUCAGUCGUCCGUGCGCAGCCUCUACGACACCUUCCGGUUUCGCGUCGACUUGAGCCCCGAGUCCGCCGCCAGUCGACAGAUCGAGUUUUGCGUUCGUUAUCGCACCCAAGGCCAAGAUUAUUGGGACAACAACGACGGAGCCAACUAUUGCCUCAAAAAGAAGAGAGACAUUUCAUUGGAGGAACAAAUUACCGAAUUUUUAUCAUCGUGCUGUGGCCCAACAUCUGUUCAUAACGGUUUCGAUCAAACUUACAAUCGUGAACAAUUACCGCACAAAAUCGAUACGAAAGAAGAUGCUAAGAUCCGUGACUGGAGCGAGUUCGCAUCUUGGCAACACCUCGAAAAUGACUCGCCCUACUGCUGCUCGUAAGAAGAUGCUCAUAAAAGCUGCUAGUAAAUGUAAUUUACAACAUUGGACACUUUCAAAUGCAGAACCAUUUUUCUACUGAAUUAAGGGCUUACUGUAAUAGUUGAUUAAGGGUAACUGUCAACGAUUAAUGAAAAUGGAUUUGGUUUUUAAACGAGCAGUUAAAACAUUGACAAUUUGUAAUUACAAAGAUAUAAGUACAGUUUUGUAACGAUCAAGAAAAUAAGCGAAGAUUAUAACAAAAGUGAACAAACAACAAAUAAUAAAAAGUUCAUUUAUGAUUAUAGUUCAUCAUGAUCGGCCGUUUUUCGAAAAGGAUUUUAAAAAAUUAUUUUAAUGAAAUCUAAAAACAUUAAUUCAAUGUCAUAUCUGAAAAUGUUAUUCAGCCUUACAUAAAUGACAUUUUUAUAAAAAAAUUUUACUUCAGUCAACAUUAUGUUAUGUAAACAUAAUGAGCAAUAAAAUUUUGAUAAAAAAAAAAUUUAAGUAAAACUUAAAAUUCUAUUAAUUUUUGGAAGCUCAAUCCAGUUAUGACAAAAAAUUGGAAUUCCGUGAAAAAUCACCGCAACGCUGGAUAAAUAUUUCAUUAAUUUAACAUUAGAAAUGAAAAAAAUUCAGAAGUUCUCAUAGGUGAUAUUUCGAAACAUUAGUUGAUAUUAAAAUUCAAACGUUUGAAGGUACUGUUCCAAAUCAAGAAGGUUUACUAUUGAGAUUUUGGAAUACACGUGAAAAAUGGAAAAUAAUGAGAAAGCGUGUACUGUGCAUGUAAAUUCGUAAUAAAUAUAAUUUAUACUAAAAUUUUAAUAUUUUGAGUCAAAAUAUUAAUGUUUGCUACGAAUCAAUUACCAGUGUAAGACAAAAAUAGCUCUAUACUGUUUUUGUUACAAUAGGAUGUCUAUGUUUUUUCUAUUGAAUAAAGUUAUUAUCAAGCUUUAA